AUACGUAGGGGGCGAGCGUUGUCCGGAAUGAUUGGGCGUAAAGGGCGCGUAGGCGGCCCGGUAAGUCUGGAGUGAAGGUCCUGUUUUUAAGAUGGGAAUUGCUUUGGAUACUGUCGGGCUUGAGUGCAGGAGAGGUAAGUGGAAUUCCCAGUGUAGCGGUGAAAUGCGUAGAGAUUGGGAGGAACACCAGUGGCGAAGGCGACUUACUGGACUGUAACUGACGCUGAGGCGCGAAAGUGUGGGGAGCAAACAGGAUUAGAUACCCUGGUAGUCCACACUGUAAACGAUGAAUGCUAGGUGUAAGAGGUAUCGACCCCUUUUGUGCCGGAGUCAACACAAUAAGCAUUCCGCCUGGGGAGUACGGCCGCAAGGUUGAAACUCAAAGGAAUUGGCGGG
This 396-nucleotide ribosomal RNA is filed under the name uncultured bacterium. RNAcentral's name for it is "partial 16S ribosomal RNA". It matches the Rfam family "Bacterial small subunit ribosomal RNA", at positions 523 to 917 of the family's 1533-position model. The record is from RNAcentral.